AGAGCGAACGUUAGCGGCGGGCCUAACACAUGCAAGUCGAACGAGAAUGAGGGGGCAACUCCUCUAGUAAAGUGGCGGACGGGUGCGUAACACGUAGGUAAUUUACCUUCCGGUGGGGGACAACAGUCCGAAAGGAUUGCUAAUACCGCAUACGUCGGCGAGAUCUCCGGAUCUUGCCGGGAAAGAUGGCCUCUCCUUGGAAGCUGUCACCGGAAGAUGAACCUGCGGCCCAUCAGCUUGUUGGUGAGGUAACGGCUCACCAAGGCAAAGACGGGUAGCUGGUCUGAGAGGAUGAUCAGCCACACUGGGACUGCGACACGGCCCAGACUCCUACGGGAGGCAGCAGUGGGGAAUAUUGGGCAAUGGGCGAAAGCCUGACCCAGCCACGCCGCGUGAGUGAUGAAGGCCUUCGGUCGUAAAGCUCUGUGGGAGGACGAAUAAGUUCGGUGCUAAUAUCACGGCCCUGACGGUACCUCCUUAGCAAGCACCGCU
RNAcentral lists this ribosomal RNA (492 nucleotides) under uncultured soil bacterium. Its description in RNAcentral is "bacterial SSU rRNA". It matches the Rfam family "Bacterial small subunit ribosomal RNA", at positions 26 to 497 of the family's 1533-position model. The record is from RNAcentral.